AGAGCGAACGCUGGCGGCAGGCCUAACACAUGCAAGUCGAGCGCCCGUAGCAAUACGGGAGCGGCAGACGGGAUAGUAACACGUGGGAACGCGCCCUUCGGUUCGGAAUAACUCAGGGAAACUUGAGCUAAUACCGGAUACGCCCUUACGGGGAAAGAUUUAUUGCCGAAGGAACGGCUCGCGUCCGAUUAGCUAGUUGGUGAGGUAAUGGCUCACCACGGCGACGAUCGGUAGCUGGUCUGAGAGGAUGACCAGCAUCACUGGGACUGAGACACGGCCCAGACUCCUACGGGAGGCAGCAGUGGGGAAUAUUGGACAAUGGGCGCAAGCCUGAUCCAGCCAUGCCGCGUGGAUGAUGAAGGCCUUAGGGUUGUAAGUCCUUUUAACGGGGAAGAUAAUGACGGUACCGUAGAAUAAGCCCCGGCUAACUUCGUGCCAGCAGCCGC
RNAcentral lists this ribosomal RNA (446 nucleotides) under uncultured bacterium. Its description in RNAcentral is "SSU rRNA". It matches the Rfam family "Bacterial small subunit ribosomal RNA", at positions 26 to 518 of the family's 1533-position model. The record is from RNAcentral.